GUGGCGAACGGGUGAGUAACGCGUGAGUAACCUGCCCUCCGGAGGGGAAUAACUGUUCGAAAGGACAGCUAAUGCCCCAUACCCUCCCCCCUUGCUCGAGGGGUGAGGAAAGUCGGCCUCUGAUUCAAGCCGGCGCCGGUAGAGGGGCUCGCGUCCCAUCAGCUUGUUGGUGAGGUAACGGCUCACCAAGGCGACGACGGGUAGCUGGUCUGAGAGGACGAUCAGCCACACUGGGACUGAGACACGGCCCAGACUCCUACGGGAGGCAGCAGUGAGGAAUCUUGGGCAAUGGGGGCAACCCUGACCCAGCGACGCCGCGUGGAGGAUGAAGGCCUUCGGGUCGUAAACUCCUGUUCCGGGGGAAGAACAUCUCCGGGGUGAACAGCCCCGGGGACUGACGGUACCCCGGGAGAAAGCUCCGGCUAAUUACGUGCCAGCAGCCGCGGUAAUACGUAAGGAGCAAGCGUUGUCCGGAUUUACUGGGCGUAAAGAGCUCGUAGGCGGUCUGUCAGGUCCCGCGUGAAAUACCCCGGCUCAACCGGGGAGGGUCGUGGGAAACCGGCAGGCUCGAGGACAGGAGAGGAGAGUGGAAUUCCCGGUGUAGCGGUGAAACGCGUAGAUAUCGGGAGGAACACCAGUGGCGAAGGCGGCUCUCUGGUCUGAUCCUGACGCUGAGGAGCGAAAGCCGGGGGAGCAAACCGGAUUAGAUACCCGGGUAGUCCCGGCCGUAAACGAUGGAUACUAGGUGUGGGAGGUUCGACCCCUUCCGUGCCGCAGCUAACGCAUUAAGUAUCCCGCCUGGGGAGUACGGCCGCAAGGUUG
Molecule: ribosomal RNA, 822 nt
Filed under: uncultured bacterium
Lineage: Bacteria
Description: bacterial SSU rRNA
Rfam family: Bacterial small subunit ribosomal RNA
Source: RNAcentral